RNAcentral lists this ribosomal RNA (499 nucleotides) under uncultured Glomeromycotina. RNAcentral's name for it is "partial small subunit ribosomal RNA". It matches the Rfam family "Eukaryotic small subunit ribosomal RNA", at positions 591 to 1092 of the family's 1831-position model. Lineage: Eukaryota; Fungi; Glomeromycota. The record is from RNAcentral.
CCAAUAGCGUAUAUUAAAGUUGUUGCAGUUAAAAAGCUCGUAGUUGAAUUUCGGGAUCAAUAUAUCGGUCGUGCCUUGGUACGUACUGGUAUCAUUGGUUUCUCCUUUCUGACGAACCAUGAUGUCAUUAAUUUGGUGUUAUGGGAAGUUAGGACUGUUACUUUGAAAAAAUUAGAGUGUUUAAAGCAGGCUUUAGCUUGAAUACAUUAGCAUGGAAUAAUGAAAUAGGACGUUCGAACCUAUUUUGUUGGUUUCUAGGAUCAACGUAAUGAUUAAUAGGGAGAGUUGGGGGCAUUAGUAUUCAAUUGUCAGAGGUGAAAUUCUUGGAUUUAUUGAAGACUAACUACUGCGAAAGCAUUUGCCAAGGAUGUUUUCAUUAAUCAAGAACGAAAGUUAGGGGAUCGAAGACGAUCAGAUACCGUCGUAGUCUUAACCAUAAACUAUGCCGACUAGGGAUCGGAUGAUGUUAAUUUUUUAAUGACUCAUUCGGCGCCUUACG